GGCACCAUCGCAUAGUGGCUAUUGCGACAGCUUGCUACGCUGUUUCCUUCGGGAGCGGGAGUUCGAGUCUCCCUGGUGUCG
Molecule: transfer RNA, 81 nt
Filed under: Drepanopeziza brunnea f. sp. 'multigermtubi' MB_m1
Lineage: Eukaryota; Fungi; Ascomycota; Leotiomycetes; Helotiales; Drepanopezizaceae
Description: tRNA-Ser (GCT) (tRNA-Ser-GCT-3-1)
Rfam family: tRNA
About the family: Transfer RNA (tRNA) molecules are approximately 80 nucleotides in length.
Source: RNAcentral